UCAUCAUUAGCAGACGAGUUUCUGUCAUCUCGUUUCCCCAACUUAAAACUGGAAUGUUAACACGGUGCAGUUCAAUAUUGAAAUAAGAGUUUUUAACACAAUUUGGUUUACAGGUUGUUGUAUAAUAUCAGCUUAGUUAACUGGUUGCGGUUAGAAGUUUCUUGCGAUACAUUUUGGUUGAAUACUUUGAUAUAGGAUAAACAUCUUACUUUAAGAAACCUCAAAGCGACAGAUUUGACCAGGUUUUUGACUUUACAUUUUUCUGAAUGUGCUGGCAAAUGAAGACUAGGAAACAUGGCAUUAACAUCAAUAAUUGUAAGUACUUUCUGGGUUGACAUUGCAAUUACAUCACAUGGAGAAGAUUUUAAUCCUUGUGACAACAUCAUUUGGAAGACAGACUCGCAUGCAAGUACAAUUUUGUACACAGAGUUCGAAGGGUCCUCAGUAGAGUCAUAUAGUGCUUUUCUGCACAUGUUGCAGUCAAAUUGACGUUCCAUUUUCACAACACAAUAUCCAGCAAUGUAUGCAAGACUUUGGAUUUUGUUCAAUUUGACAAUUUUGGUCCUCCAAUGUGGUUGAAGGAAGAAGUGAACAGUUGGAUGAUAAAGAAGCUGUCACACCACCACUUUUUAUGACGAGAAGCUUUCUCAUAAUGUACUUCACUUGGAUUGCAGUGGGAUUGUUAUUUAACCCACCCCUUAAUCGAAUAAUGCUAAAGAAAUGCUCGAGUGGAUCUUGCUGAGUAAGUCUUGUGCAUAGACAACUUAAGGAGUUGGAUUGAGUUAACACGUCCCAGGCAAGUGCUACAGUAGAUAUUAUUGUGGCUGUAAAGCCAACUGCAACUGCCUUUCGCCUACUAGUACAAACAAGUGUACCCGUAGUUUGAAAUUGUCAGUGGAGCUUUAUCGUUCGUUUGUUUCGGAUUCCACGAGUUCACGAAUACGAAACAUAACUUCUUGAGCUACGGAGCACAACUGGUAACUGAAGCUGUGUAUUUCUCAAGGUUUUCUUCGUUAAAAAGUACACCAGGGAACUGUGGGAAAUAACCCCUCGAUUCCUCGAAUUGGCUUCACAUAACUUCCGUGAAUUAUGAGUCACAUGGUCUACUCUGCCUAUACCAGAGCGAGUCCUUAUCCGGCUUUCCCUCACGAAAUUCAAAUCAUCCGCCUUACACAUUUUGAGAAUUCGUCCGCUAAAGAUGAAGGGAGGGCAUUAGCCGCUAGAUGGCGCGCCGAAAAGUGUCAUGGCGGCAUUCCCUACUAUGUGUCCCAUCUCCUUAUCUCUGGUCCAGAUCCUUUAUGCGCUAAAAAUUAGGUAUUAAAAGAAUUAUUAUUAUUUGGUAAAAAUUUAUUAUUCUUAAUUUUAUAGUAUUGAUUGAUAACAAUUGACGACAUCAAUUCACUCAUGAAUUUAUAAAUAGAAUAGUGGGAAUUUUUUUACAAUAUCUAUAGUCCAAUCUUCUGAGACGAUUACGUUAAUUUUUUUUCAAGGAGUGUUUUCCCACGCAUAGGGAUAUUAAAUGCUGAG
Long non-coding RNA from Daphnia magna, 1527 nucleotides. RefSeq lists it as uncharacterized. The transcript has 4 exons. The record is from RefSeq and is a predicted model, not a curated record. NCBI's taxonomy places the organism in Eukaryota, Metazoa, Arthropoda, Branchiopoda, Diplostraca, Daphniidae.